AUGAGCGCUCUCACUCUCGCUACUGCUCAAGCAUGGAAAAAAAAGGAACAAAAAACAAAAGAGAGAGAAAAGCAAGCGGAAACAGCAAAGCAGGCUGCCCCUGUAGUUGCAGUGGAUAAACGACGAGACCCCGGAGUCCGCCGCAAGAUCGGGAUCCUCCCAUCAGUCUCGACGUGGCUGUGGUGCCUUUGUUUCCUCUUUCGUGCAAUGCCGAGAGAUGAUUUGUGCGCUUGCUUGCGGAGCUGCUCGUCCUCGCCGUUCGCUCCACGCGCGCAACCGUCGGCGUUGCCGGUGGGCGCAACGGAAUCAGCGAGUGCGCUGAGCUCCUCACGAUGCCCGUGGGUCGCCGCAUUUUCAGUUGCGCCUCAUCCUUGUACGCUUGCAACUCGUGGUGCUACUGCUAACUGCCUAGCUAGUGUGCAUUCCACGACUCAAAAGAAAACAAAAAACUAG
This 453-nucleotide ribosomal RNA is filed under the name Triticum aestivum (bread wheat). Its description in RNAcentral is "partial small subunit ribosomal RNA". Lineage: Eukaryota; Viridiplantae; Streptophyta; Magnoliopsida; Poales; Poaceae. The record is from RNAcentral.